Molecule: ribosomal RNA, 427 nt
Filed under: uncultured Bacillus sp.
Lineage: Bacteria; Bacillati; Bacillota; Bacilli; Caryophanales; Bacillaceae
Description: bacterial SSU rRNA
Rfam family: Bacterial small subunit ribosomal RNA
Source: RNAcentral
AGUAGGGAAUCUUCCGCAAUGGACGAAAGUCUGACGGAGCAACGCCGCGUGAGCGAUGAAGGCCUUCGGGUCGUAAAGCUCUGUUGUUAGGGAAGAACAAGUAUCGGAGUAACUGCCGGUACCUUGACGGUACCUAACCAGAAAGCCACGGCUAACUACGUGCCAGCAGCCGCGGUAAUACGUAGGUGGCAAGCGUUGUCCGGAAUUAUUGGGCGUAAAGCGCGCGCAGGCGGUCCUUUAAGUCUGAUGUGAAAGCCCACGGCUCAACCGUGGAGGGUCAUUGGAAACUGGGGGACUUGAGUGCAGAAGAGGAAAGCGGAAUUCCACGUGUAGCGGUGAAAUGCGUAGAGAUGUGGAGGAACACCAGUGGCGAAGGCGGCUUUCUGGUCUGUAACUGACGCUGAGGCGCGAAAGCGUGGGGAGCAAA